RNAcentral lists this ribosomal RNA (497 nucleotides) under uncultured bacterium. RNAcentral's name for it is "partial 16S ribosomal RNA". It matches the Rfam family "Bacterial small subunit ribosomal RNA", at positions 28 to 507 of the family's 1533-position model. The record is from RNAcentral.
GAUGAACGCUGGCGGCGUGCCUAAUACAUGCAAGUCGAGCGAACAGACGAGGAGCUUGCUCCUCUGACGUUAGCGGCGGACGGGUGAGUAACACGUGGAUAACCUACCUAUAAGACUGGGAUAACUUCGGGAAACCGGAGCUAAUACCGGAUAAUAUAUUGAACCGCAUGGUUCAAUAGUGAAAGACGGUUUUGCUGUCACUUAUAGAUGGAUCCGCGCCGCAUUAGCUAGUUGGUAAGGUAACGGCUUACCAAGGCGACGAUGCGUAGCCGAACUGAGAGAGUGAUAGGCGACACUAGAGAUGAGACACGGUCCAGAGUCCUGAGGGAGGGAGCAGAAGGGAAUCUUCCGCAAUAGGCGAAAACAUGGCACAGCGACGCGGAGUGAGUGAUGAAGGUCUUCGGAUCGUAAAACUCUGUUAUUAGGGAAGAACAAAUGUGUAAGUAACUAUGCACGUCUUGACGGUACCUAAUCAGAAAGCAACGGCUAACUACGUG